This 1439-nucleotide ribosomal RNA is filed under the name uncultured prokaryote. RNAcentral's name for it is "partial 16S ribosomal RNA". It matches the Rfam family "Bacterial small subunit ribosomal RNA". The record is from RNAcentral.
AUGAACGCUAGCGGGAGGCCUAACACAUGCAAGUCGAGCGGGAUUCUUCCUUCGGGGAGAUACGACCGGCGCACGGGUGAGUAACGCGUAUGCAACCUACCUCAAACAGGGGGAUAGCUCAGGGAAACCUGGAUUAAUACCCCAUAAUAUUUAGAUUUGGCAUCAGAUUUAAAUUAAAACUCCGGUGGUUUGAGAUGGGCAUGCGUGACAUUAGUUAGUUGGUAAGGUAACGGCUUACCAAGACUACGAUGUCUAGGGGUUCUGAGAGGAUGAUCCCCCACACUGGUACUGAGACACGGACCAGACUCCUACGGGAGGCAGCAGUGAGGAAUAUUGGUCAAUGGGCGCAAGCCUGAACCAGCCAUCCCGCGUGAAGGAAGACUGCCCUAUGGGUUGUAAACUUCUUUUCUGUACCAAGAAUGUUACCUACGUGUAGGUAUUUGACGGUAGUACAGGAAUAAGCAUCGGCUAACUCCGUGCCAGCAGCCGCGGUAAUACGGAGGAUGCAAGCGUUAUCCGGAUUUAUUGGGUUUAAAGGGUCCGUAGGUGGAUCAAUCAGUCAGUGGUGAAAUCCUGCAGCUUAACUGUAGAACUGCCAUUGAUACUGUUGAUCUUGAGUGCAGAUGAGGUAGGCGGAAUGAGUAGUGUAGCGGUGAAAUGCUUAGAUAUUACUCAGAACACCGAUUGCGAAGGCAGCUUACUAAACUGUUACUGACACUGAUGGACGAAAGCGUGGGGAGCGAACAGGAUUAGAUACCCUGGUAGUCCACGCCGUAAACGAUGCUCACUCGCUGUAUGCAAUACACCGUAUGCGGCCAAGCGAAAGUGUUAAGUGAGCCACCUGGGGAGUACGAUCGCAAGGUUGAAACUCAAAGGAAUUGACGGGGGCCCGCACAAGCGGAGGAGCAUGUGGUUUAAUUCGAUGAUACGCGAGGAACCUUACCUGGGCUUAAAUGUAGAUUGACAGUCAAAGAGAUUUGAUUUUCUUCGGACAAUUUACAGGGUGCUGCAUGGUUGUCGUCAGCUCGUGCCGUGAGGUGUCGGGUUAAGUCCCAUAACGAGCGCAACCCCUACCGUUAGUUGCCAUCGGGUCAAGCCGGGGACUCUAGCGGGACUGCCAGUGUAAACUGUGAGGAAGGUGGGGAUGACGUCAAAUCAGCACGGCCCUUAUGCCCAGGGCUACACACGUGUUACAAUGGCCGGUACAGAGGGCAGCUACUAUGUGAAUAGAUGCAAAUCCCCAAAGCCGGUCUCAGUUCGGAUCGGAGUCUGCAACUCGACUUCGUGAAGCUGGAUUCGCUAGUAAUCGUAUAUCAGCAAUGAUACGGUGAAUACGUUCCCGGGCCUUGUACACACCGCCCGUCAAGCCAUGGAAGCUGGGGGUACCUGAAGUCUGUAACCGUAAGGAGCGGCCUAGGGUAAAACUAGUGACUGGGGUU